This 438-nucleotide ribosomal RNA is filed under the name Catonella morbi. RNAcentral describes it as "bacterial SSU rRNA". It matches the Rfam family "Bacterial small subunit ribosomal RNA", at positions 28 to 447 of the family's 1533-position model. The record is from RNAcentral. Lineage: Bacteria; Bacillati; Bacillota; Clostridia; Lachnospirales; Lachnospiraceae.
GAUGAACGCUGGCGGCGUGCCUAACACAUGCAAGUCGAACGGAGAUUAUGGACGGAAGUUUUCGGAUGGAAGUUUGUAAUUCUUAGUGGCGGACGGGUGAGUAACGCGUGGGCAACCUGCCCUAUACAGGGGGAUAGCAGCUGGAAACGGCUGGUAAGACCGCAUAAGUCGGUUAAAUCGCAUGAUUUGACCGGGAAAUGAGCAAUCAGGUAUAGGAUGGGCCCGCGUCCGAUUAGCCAGUUGGCAGGGUAAAGGCCUACCAAAGCGACGAUCGGUAGCCGGACUGAGAGGUCGGACGGCCACAUUGGGACUGAGACACGGCCCAAACUCCUACGGGAGGCAGCAGGGGGGAUAUUGCACAAUGGAGGAAACUCUGAUGCAGCGACGCCGCGUGAGUGAAGAAGUAUUUCGGUAUGUAAAGCUCUAUCAGCAGGGAAG